CUAUUCCCUGCUGAUAAAAAUGGAAAUCUUCGUUUCGUUUUGGAAGAUGAUUAUAAUGAAGCUUUCAGGAAAAAAG
This 76-nucleotide small RNA is filed under the name Epilithonimonas xixisoli. Its description in RNAcentral is "Chryseobacterium xixisoli Flavo-1 RNA". Lineage: Bacteria; Pseudomonadati; Bacteroidota; Flavobacteriia; Flavobacteriales; Weeksellaceae. The record is from RNAcentral.